GUCUACGGCCACGCUACCCUGAACAAGCCCGAUCCGGUAUGAUCUUGGAAGCUAAGCAGGGUCAGACCUGGUUAAUAUUUGGAUGGGAGAACACCUAGGGAGACCAAGUGCCGUAGGCA
Pteropus alecto (black flying fox) is the source of this 119-nucleotide non-coding RNA. The record is from Rfam. NCBI's taxonomy places the organism in Eukaryota, Metazoa, Chordata, Mammalia, Chiroptera, Pteropodidae.